Molecule: transfer RNA, 73 nt
Filed under: Chloroflexota bacterium
Lineage: Bacteria; Bacillati; Chloroflexota
Description: Chloroflexi bacterium (groundwater metagenome) tRNA-Thr
Rfam family: tRNA
About the family: Transfer RNA (tRNA) molecules are approximately 80 nucleotides in length. Their secondary structure includes four short double-helical elements and three loops (D, anti-codon, and T loops). Further hydrogen bonds mediate the characteristic L-shaped molecular structure. tRNAs have two regions of fundamental functional importance: the anti-codon, which is responsible for specific mRNA codon recognition, and the 3' end, to which the tRNAs corresponding amino acid is attached (by aminoacyl-tRNA synthetases). tRNAs cope with the degeneracy of the genetic code in two manners: having more than one tRNA (with a specific anti-codon) for a particular amino acid; and 'wobble' base-pairing, i.e. permitting non-standard base-pairing at the 3rd anti-codon position.
Source: RNAcentral
GCCUACAUAGCUCAGUUGGUAGAGCACUCCCUUGGUAAGGGAGAGGUCAUGAGUUCAAGUCUCAUUGUAGGCU